GAGAGCUUCUCCACCAAGGCGCACGCCCUCACCGAGCCCAUCAACGUCUACAUCAAGUGGAUCGACAAGUGCGAUGAGGCCAACCAAGGUGUCACUGGUACUAACGGCGGUGUUUGCAUUGAUCUAUGUCUCCAUGGCGCCGGGUCUACUGUUGAUCAAGUUAGUUUGAAGCUUCUCAGAGGAAGAUCAAUUGUGUCCGUCCAUGUUUUUGCCCUUAUUCAGAGAUCGAUACUAGUGAAAUUGUGCGUCAGAGAAAAUUUUAUUUUCUUGACUUCCAGUCACCAAUGA
RNAcentral lists this ribosomal RNA (288 nucleotides) under Triticum aestivum (bread wheat). RNAcentral's name for it is "partial small subunit ribosomal RNA". Lineage: Eukaryota; Viridiplantae; Streptophyta; Magnoliopsida; Poales; Poaceae. The record is from RNAcentral.